This 1337-nucleotide ribosomal RNA is filed under the name uncultured bacterium. RNAcentral describes it as "bacterial SSU rRNA". It matches the Rfam family "Bacterial small subunit ribosomal RNA", at positions 28 to 1381 of the family's 1533-position model. The record is from RNAcentral.
GACGAACGCUGGCGGCGUGCUUAACACAUGCAAGUCGGACGGAAAGGCCCUUCGGGGUACUCGAGUGGCGAACGGGUGAGUAACACGUGGGUGAUCUGCCCUGCACUUUGGGAUAAGCCUGGGAAACUGGGUCUAAUACCGAAUAGGACCACGCGCUUCAUGGUGUGUGGUGGAAAGCUUUUGCGGUGUGGGAUGGGCCCGCGGCCUAUCAGCUUGUUGGUGGGGUAAUGGCCUACCAAGGCGACGACGGGUAGCCGGCCUGAGAGGGUGACCGGCCACACUGGGACUGAGAUACGGCCCAGACUCCUACGGGAGGCAGCAGUGGGGAAUAUUGCACAAUGGGCGCAAGCCUGAUGCAGCGACGCCGCGUGAGGGAUGACGGCCUUCGGGUUGUAAACCUCUUUCAAUAGGGACGAAGCGCAAGUGACGGUACCUAUAGAAGAAGCACCGGCCAACUACGUGCCAGCAGCCGCGGUAAUACGUAGGGUGCGAGCGUUGUCCGGAAUUACUGGGCGUAAAGAGCUCGUAGGUGGUUUGUCGCGUUGUUCGUGAAAACUCACAGCUUAACUGUGGGCGUGCGGGCGAUACGGGCAGACUAGAGUACUGCAGGGGAGACUGGAAUUCCUGGUGUAGCGGUGGAAUGCGCAGAUAUCAGGAGGAACACCGGUGGCGAAGGCGGGUCUCUGGGCAGUAACUGACGCUGAGGAGCGAAAGCGUGGGGAGCGAACAGGAUUAGAUACCCUGGUAGUCCACGCCGUAAACGGUGGGUACUAGGUGUGGGUUCCUUCCUUGGGAUCCGUGCCGUAGCUAACGCAUUAAGUACCCCGCCUGGGGAGUACGGCCGCAAGGCUAAAACUCAAAGGAAUUGACGGGGGCCCGCACAAGCGGCGGAGCAUGUGGAUUAAUUCGAUGCAACGCGAAGAACCUUACCUGGGUUUGACAUGCACAGGACGCCGGCAGAGAUGUCGGUUCCCUUGUGGCCUGUGUGCAGGUGGUGCAUGGCUGUCGUCAGCUCGUGUCGUGAGAUGUUGGGUUAAGUCCCGCAACGAGCGCAACCCUUGUCCUAUGUUGCCAGCGGGUUAUGCCGGGGACUCGUAGGAGACUGCCGGGGUCAACUCGGAGGAAGGUGGGGAUGACGUCAAGUCAUCAUGCCCCUUAUGUCCAGGGCUUCACACAUGCUACAAUGGCCGGUACAAAGGGCUGCGAUGCCGUGAGGUGGAGCGAAUCCUUUCAAAGCCGGUCUCAGUUCGGAUCGGGGUCUGCAACUCGACCCCGUGAAGUCGGAGUCGCUAGUAAUCGCAGAUCAGCAACGCUGCGGUGAAUACGUUCCCGGGCCU